RNAcentral lists this long non-coding RNA (284 nucleotides) under Marmota monax (woodchuck). Lineage: Eukaryota; Metazoa; Chordata; Mammalia; Rodentia; Sciuridae. The record is from RNAcentral.
CUUUGUCUAUCCCAAAAGGAAGCUGGGAACUUCUGGAUACCCAGAAAACCUUUAGUCUUAUACCUCAACCACCUUUUCAGAUCUCUCUGGGUUUUAAACAGAGUGGAAGAAACUGAGAAUUUUCUGAGAUACAAAUAUUGUUAUUGAUACAAUUUCAGGCAGCAAGCUCUGCUUAUUGUAAAUCUUUCUUGACUGAAAAUAUGUAAGACCAUAUAAGUAGGAGGAAGAAAGUAAAGAAGCAGGGGAGGGGUUUUGAAUUAGCAUCAAUGUCCAUUGCCUGUUGA